Molecule: ribosomal RNA, 253 nt
Filed under: uncultured bacterium
Lineage: Bacteria
Description: partial 16S ribosomal RNA
Rfam family: Bacterial small subunit ribosomal RNA
Source: RNAcentral
UACGUAGGGGGCAAGCGUUGUCCGGAAUCAUUGGGCGUAAAGCGCGUGUAGGCGGCUUGGUAAGUCCGUUCUGAAAGCCCGGGGCUCAACCCCGGGAGGCGGAUGGAUACUGUCAAGCUUGAGUCCGGAAGAGGCGAGUGGAAUUCUUGGUGUAGCGGUGAAAUGCGUAGAUAUCAAGAGGAACACCUGCGGCGAAGGCGGGUUGCUGGGCCGACACUGACGCUGAGGCGCGAAAGCCAGGGGAGCGAACGGG